CAGUCGCCACGGUAAUACGUAGGUGGCAAGCGUUGUCCGGAAUUAUUGGGCGUAAAGCGCGCGCAGGCGGAUCAGUCAGUCUGUCUUAAAAGUUCGGGGCUUAACCCCGUGAGGGGAUGGAAACUGCUGAUCUAGAGUAUCGGAGAGGAAAGUGGAAUUCCUAGUGUAGCGGUGAAAUGCGUAGAUAUUAGGAAGAACACCAGUGGCGAAGGCGACUUUCCGGACGAAAACUGACGCUGAGGCGCGAAAGCCAGGGGAGCGAACGGGAUUAGAUACCCGAGUAGUCCCUGUCUCUUAUACA
This 301-nucleotide ribosomal RNA is filed under the name uncultured bacterium. RNAcentral describes it as "partial 16S ribosomal RNA". It matches the Rfam family "Bacterial small subunit ribosomal RNA", at positions 509 to 809 of the family's 1533-position model. The record is from RNAcentral.